Juglans regia (Persian walnut) is the source of this 879-nucleotide long non-coding RNA. RefSeq lists it as uncharacterized. NCBI's taxonomy places the organism in Eukaryota, Viridiplantae, Streptophyta, Magnoliopsida, Fagales, Juglandaceae. The transcript has 3 exons. The record is from RefSeq and is a predicted model, not a curated record.
AUCGGGAUUAUUGAGUAGGCAAGGUAUGCAAUUGAAAUUGGUUUUUCACUCAAAAACCUAGCACCAGGGAAAGGACUGUUUCCCUCUAUCUGCCGACCCGCUUCACCACCAGACUUCUCCAGCUCCAGUCCUACGGUGAUAACCCGGUUAUUUGAAGGUUUUCAUGGAGGCUGAAUCUCAAGAUCCUAGACCUCUGGUUAGAGCCACACUUCGCCUUGGAUCAGAAACAUAUUCUGUCAACGCAAACAAGGGUACUCUUUCUGAGCAAUUGAUUUCAAUGAAAGAGGAAAGUAUGAGUAUAUUGAAGGAAUUCAUCACCAAACAUAAUGUUCCUAAUGAUGUCCCCGAUGAACUUGUUGAAAGCUCUUCAGAGGAGGAUACCGAAACCCCUGAGAAGACCCAUGUGAAGUCAAAGAAGACGAAAUUAACAUAAUUAUUCCUUUCUCCUCCUUGGUUUAAAACCCCAAGAGACAAAUGGGAAGCUCCUUCAUUGUGUUAGAACUGUCUUGAACAAUAUCUUGAAAUAGUUAGUACAUUAGAUGUUAUGCAAGAUGAAGUGCUUAUGUCCUUUUCCAUUUGACUUCUGUAUUCUCAAGACUCUGCUUGUCACAGAAUCUUUGUUCAAGUAGUUUGGCCAUGUAAAUUCUAACCACGGAGGAACCGGAGCUUUGAGGUAAAAGACUCGAGCCAGCAAUUGGGUGUUCGCAGCAAGACGACAAUAGAGUGUCGCUGGAAUUAGCAACCGGUCUCAUUGCAAAUUCCCUCUGGAACAUUAUGAUCGCACGUCUGAAUGCCGGUUGGCGAUUCAGUGUAACUUGAACGUGAGAUGAGAGGGGAGGAGAUUUGAUACCAAUAUAGGGGGAGAUAUCACUGGAUUAA